Molecule: ribosomal RNA, 330 nt
Filed under: Streptomyces pseudovenezuelae
Lineage: Bacteria; Bacillati; Actinomycetota; Actinomycetes; Kitasatosporales; Streptomycetaceae
Description: bacterial SSU rRNA
Rfam family: Bacterial small subunit ribosomal RNA
Source: RNAcentral
UGGGGAUUAGUGGCGAACGGGUGAGUAACACGUGGGCAAUCUGCCCUUCACUCUGGGACAAGCCCUGGAAACGGGGUCUAAUACCGGAUAACACUUCCACUCUCCUGGGUGGAGGUUAAAAGCUCCGGCGGUGAAGGAUGAGCCCGCGGCCUAUCAGCUUGUUGGUGAGGUAAUGGCUCGGCGAGGGGGAGGAGGGGUAGCCGGCCUGAGAGGGCGACCGGCCACACUGGGACUGAGACACGGCCCAGACUCCUACGGGAGGCAGCAGUGGGGAAUAUUGCACAAUGGGCGAAAGCCUGAUGCAGGGGAGGCGGGCGGGGGGGGAUGACG